GACGAACGCUGGCGGCGUGCUUAACACAUGCAAGUCGAACGGAAAGGCCCUGCUUUUGUGGGGUGCUCGAGUGGCGAACGGGUGAGUAACACGUGAGUAACCUGCCCUUGACUUUGGGAUAACUUCAGGAAACUGGGGCUAAUACCGGAUAGGAGCUCCUGCUGCAUGGUGGGGGUUGGAAAGUUUCGGCGGUUGGGGAUGGACUCGCGGCUUAUCAGCUUGUUGGUGGGGUAGUGGCUUACCAAGGCUUUGACGGGUAGCCGGCCUGAGAGGGUGACCGGCCACAUUGGGACUGAGAUACGGCCCAGACUCUUACGGGAGGCAGCAGUGGGGAAUAUUGCACAAUGGGCGGAAGCCUGAUGCAGCAACGCCGCGUGCGGGAUGACGGCCUUCGGGUUGUAAACCGCUUUCGCCUGUGACGAAGCGUGAGUGACGGUA
RNAcentral lists this ribosomal RNA (438 nucleotides) under uncultured bacterium. Its description in RNAcentral is "bacterial SSU rRNA". It matches the Rfam family "Bacterial small subunit ribosomal RNA", at positions 28 to 477 of the family's 1533-position model. The record is from RNAcentral.